RNAcentral lists this ribosomal RNA (405 nucleotides) under uncultured bacterium. RNAcentral describes it as "partial 16S ribosomal RNA". It matches the Rfam family "Bacterial small subunit ribosomal RNA", at positions 29 to 526 of the family's 1533-position model. The record is from RNAcentral.
AAUGAACGCUGGCGGCAGGAUUAACACAUGCAAGUCGAACGAGUGGCGGACGGGUGAGUAAUGCUUGGGAAUCUAGCUUAUGGAGGGGGAUAACUACGGGAAACUGUAGCUAAUACCGCGUACCAUAGGAUGAGCCCAAGUGGGCUUAGGUAUUUGGUGAGGUAAAGGCCCACCAAGCCGACGAGCUCUAGCUGGUCGGAGCGGAUGACCGUGCAACCUGGUACUGGUACACGGCCCAGACGCCUACGUGAGGCCGCAGUGGGGAAUAUUGCGCAAUGGGGGCAACCUGACGCAGCCCUGCCGCGUGAAUGAAGAAGUUCUUCGGGUUGUAAAGUUCUUUCGGUAGCGAGGCGUUAACUACAGAAGAAGCACCGGCUAACUCCGUGCCAGCAGCCGCGGUAAUUC